UAGGGAAUCUUCCACAAUGGACGCAAGUCUGAUGGAGCAACGCCGCGUGAGUGAAGAAGGUUUUCGGACCGUAAAGCUCUGUUGUUGGUGAAGAAGGAUAGAGGUAGUAACUGGCCUUUUAUUUGACGGUAAUCAACCAGAAAGUCACGGCUAACUACGUGCCAGCAGCCGCGGUAAUACGUAGGUGGCAAGCGUUGUCCGGAUUUAUUGGGCGUAAAGCGAGCGCAGGCGGAAGAAUAAGUCUGAUGUGAAAGCCCUCGGCUUAACCGAGGAAUUGCAUCGGAAACUGUUUUCUUGAGUGCAGAAGAGGAGAGUAGAACUCCAUGUGUAGCGGUGGAAUGCGUAGAUAUAUGGAAGAAUACCAGUGGCGAAGGCGGCUCUCUGGUCUGCAACUGACGCUGAGGCUCGAAAGCAUGGGUAGCGAACAGGAUUAGAUACCCUUGGUAGUCCAUGCCGUAAACGAUGAG
This 467-nucleotide ribosomal RNA is filed under the name uncultured bacterium. Its description in RNAcentral is "partial 16S ribosomal RNA". It matches the Rfam family "Bacterial small subunit ribosomal RNA", at positions 355 to 813 of the family's 1533-position model. The record is from RNAcentral.